This is a non-coding RNA of Hemisphaericaspora subhashii, 71 nucleotides long. Lineage: Eukaryota; Fungi; Ascomycota; Pichiomycetes; Serinales; Debaryomycetaceae. The record is from the annotation of a RefSeq genome assembly.
AAGGGCAUAGCUUAACGGCAAAGCAGGUGUCUUCAACACACCCUAUAGUAGUUCAAGUCUACUUGCCCUUG